This is a long non-coding RNA of Cavia porcellus (domestic guinea pig), 2010 nucleotides long. RefSeq lists it as uncharacterized. Lineage: Eukaryota; Metazoa; Chordata; Mammalia; Rodentia; Caviidae. The transcript has 2 exons. The record is from RefSeq and is a predicted model, not a curated record.
GCGUCUAGAAGGACUGGACUCCCUCAACUUGACCCAGGAGGCCUCUAGGCGCGACCCCUCUUUGGUACCCGCGGCUGACAUAAGUCCACGUUGGGCCUCUUCUCCUACCUCCCCCAGCACUUUCAACCCACAGCUUGGAACCGAACCAGCAGAGCCCCACUAACGCGCCCGCGCCGGGGCCACCCGCCACCAGCCGCGAGCGCGCGGCCGACGCGCGAGCACGACCGGCCUCCCCCGACUGCCGCCCCAGGCCCUGGGCAUCCGCGCGGGUCCCACCCCGCCCCUGCCCAGUCCCAGACUUUGCUCCUCUGGGAGCGUAGAGCUCAAGAGAGCGCACUUCGGCUUCUCCCACACAAUGAGCCUCCGGCCACCAGGAACAGGCGGAGGGGCAGUGCAAGAUCCGAGCGGGAAAGCAGGCAACCCGCCCCAGAAACCGACCUGUGGAGACCGCCAUCUUCUCCUACAGCCCGACGCAGCCGCCUGAACGCACGGGACGUCAGCGUCACUUCCGGGAGCGCGCCGCUGGGUGCGCAUCACUCCAGACUCCGCCCCCCGCGGCCGGCGCCGCUCUCCGAGCGGUGACAGCGCGCACGUGGGGCGAGGAGGUGGGACCCUCGCUAAUGCUUGGCUACCUGGAACUCCGCAGCUGUCUCACAGUAAAAAUUUUAUGGGACGAAAACAAUGAGUUGAAGCAGGAAAAGAAGAAAGACACAGGAGAAACCAUAUAGAUUUACGCCACUUUGAAGGAAAUAAGGCCCCCUGACUAAUGUCCCACCCCUCCAGUUGACAAAACAAUUAUCCCUGUAGCAGAAGAUACUCUCCUCCCAGUUUGUUAGUUGCUCAAGUAAUAGUUCUGGUUACAGUUCAUGUUACUUUUGUUUUUUAGAAACAGUCACUGUGAUACUGACCACUAUGAUGCGUAACUGGUCAUAAGAGCCAAUGUCUAUCCUAAGAACCAGUCCCCACUAUUCUGCCCCUGUACUGCCUGCUAACUUGUCCCAUGUGAGCCCUACACCACCAGAGAUCAGGGCCUGAUGUUUUGGGAAUGAACCUGAUCAGUGCCCGUCAACAUAAAUAAAUCUGCUUCCAAAUCCUGGGUAUCAUCUCAGUAUUUCUGCUUGCUAUUGCAUCCUUUCUCCCCAUGAGUAGAUAGAUACGCAAUUCCCAUGAAGUUCUUGUCAUUAGUAUCUGUGAUGAGCGCACCCUAAUAUCCCCUUUGUCCCCUGUGACCUACACUUUCUGGAGUUUUCGACCCUAUGGGAUCCAUCAUCUCUCUUUGAGUGUCAGUGAGAACCGUGACUUUUCUUUAAUCGACAACUUGCUAAAGUAAUAGGAAGACACUUCUGCAACUGUGGUACAUGUUAUCUGAAUGCCCGUGCUGCAAGGAAAUGCAAGGGUCUGAAACUGCUGUGAUGCAAGUUUACUUUGGAGAAUGACGUGGGACAAGACACUAAAGCCAGGCUCUAGCCAACACAGCCAGCAAGAAACCAAGGAUCUCAGUGUAACAGUCUGCAAGGAGUCAGCAUAAAUUUGGUGGUAUUAUACCCCUCAGUUGCUAACGCUUGGAAAUCUUGGAAGCGAAUCCCACUUCCCUCAAGCCUUGAGAUCAGACAACAGCUCCUGAACUGGCAUCUGGACCACAGCCCAGCCAAGUCUAGACUCCUGACUCAUCGACGCUGUGGGAGAAUAAACCUGUGUUCUUUAGUCCCCAAGGUUGUGAUAACUGGCUCUGCAGCAAAGUGAAACAGCAAUCCUACAGUAAGCCACUGCAUUUUAACAGCUCGGGUGAAUCUGAUUUCCUCACAAGGAAUCCUGAGAAUUUCUCUAAUCGGUAUGAGGAGGAAAGCUCUAUUACCAGCAAACUAUUAAACUUUCUCCAAGGUUUUCUUCUUCAUUUUACUGACUUGACUAGAUGGCAGUGGCUUUGCAGCUCGCCUGUCCUAAAUGUCUGUUUAUUUUUAAAAUUAAUUUACCUUUUUAUUUAUUUAUUUUUCUCUUUUUAUCGGUACC